Molecule: signal recognition particle RNA, 85 nt
Filed under: Candidatus Alectryocaccomicrobium excrementavium
Lineage: Bacteria; Bacillati; Bacillota; Clostridia
Also listed under: 2 other names
Description: Bacterial small signal recognition particle RNA
Rfam family: Bacterial small signal recognition particle RNA
About the family: The signal recognition particle (SRP) is a universally conserved ribonucleoprotein involved in the co-translational targeting of proteins to membranes. Archaeal SRP consists of a 7S RNA and homologues of the eukaryotic SRP19 and SRP54 proteins.
Source: RNAcentral
UGGAACCCGUGCGGCGUUGUGUCGUGAACCUUGUCAGGGCCGGAAGGCAGCAGCAAUAAGCGAUUGCAGCGCGCGCCGCGGGAAU